CCUACGGGUGGCAGCAGUGGGGAAUAUUGCACAAUGGGCGCAAGCCUGAUGCAGCCAUGCCGCGUGUGUGAAGAAGGCCUUCGGGUUGUAAAGCACUUUCAGCGGGGAGGAAGGCGUUAAGGUUAAUAACCUUGUCGAUUGACGUUACCCGCAGAAGAAGCACCGGCUAACUCCGGGCCAGCAGCCGCGGUAAUACGGAGGGUGCAAGCGUUAAUCGGAAUUACUGGGCGUAAAGCGCACGCAGGCGGUCUGUCAAGUCGGAUGUGAAAUCCCCGGGCUCAACCUGGGAACUGCAUUCGAAACUGGCAGGCUAGAGUCUUGUAGAGGGGGGUAGAAUUCCAGGUGUAGCGGUGAAAUGCGUAGAGAUCUGGAGGAAUACCGGUGGCGAAGGCGGCCCCCUGGACAAAGACUGACGCUCAGGUGCGAAAGCGUGGGGAGCAAACAGGAUUAGAUACCCCAGUAGUC
RNAcentral lists this ribosomal RNA (465 nucleotides) under uncultured Klebsiella sp. RNAcentral describes it as "bacterial SSU rRNA". It matches the Rfam family "Bacterial small subunit ribosomal RNA", at positions 338 to 795 of the family's 1533-position model. The record is from RNAcentral. Lineage: Bacteria; Pseudomonadati; Pseudomonadota; Gammaproteobacteria; Enterobacterales; Enterobacteriaceae.